AACACAACUUCAAAUCCAAACCCAAAGCUAUUUCUGCACUCACUGAUCAUUUUCAUGCAUCUAGACACCGAUUCCAAAUUUAGAGGAGUUGUUUAGAGCUGGUGUCAGAACGGAUUAUUUUAAUACUCUGUAAUUAUCCAUACAGACUGUUAACCACUGUGUCACGCCAACACGAUGGCAGACCUUUAAGUUUAGGAGUCCGAGAUGAUGGAUGAGUCACAGAAACAGAACAAGAGACAGGAUGAUGUAGAGAUGAUCCCUGAAGAAAAACUGGAGGGGGACACAUGUGCAGCUGUAGCCUAGUGAACUAGACCAAAUUCUUGCUUUGCAAAGUUUGGUCUAAUACAUUUAUUUAGUCUGGCUUGCCAGGCUAGUGCAGCUGUGCUUUCUUCAGAAACACAGAUCUGCAUCAAAAGCACAUGUUCAUCACAUUCAGUAAAAAACUGUUUUAACAGAUUUUAAUGUUAUAGGGUCUUUUCUUCAGCUUUGAGUAUAUUUGCUAUGCUUACAGUGUAUUAGUAACCCUGCACUGAUGAAUCAGACAGAUUUAAAAAGUGUCCUCUGUUCAUUCAACUCGGUAACAUAGUUCUCCUAAACACACGCAGCUGCUCGGUGAGUUGUUUUCUUAGUGGACCACACUGAGAAAAUGUGUCUGAUAUUCUGCAGCAGAGCAGCUUUGCAGCUGUUGUUGAAAAAUAAUAAAAACAGAUUUGAUUUAGCUGAAGGGAAUAAAGAGCAGCAGGCAGAACAAAAUCCUUGUCGUAUGAAUUUGUAUGAAAGACUUGUUUGGUCUCAAACUAAGUUUGAAGGGUUAUUUGGGGCCAAUUUAAAGUAAGUUGAUGUACAAAAGUUAGAAAAGGAUAGUGUCUUGUCUGUACUGUUGCAGAGUUCCAGUCUCUAAACCUGCACAGCAGUUUAUGCAACAUCAUUUUAUAAAGCUUUACCGGUGGUUAUUUGCAUUAAAGGUUACAUCACUAGCAGCACACAGUGUUACUGCAGGUGCGUCCAGUAGGAAUUUCCUCUAAGUUCGUCCAAAAUGGCAGCUAAACCAAUGAUGGUGUCUAGUAGAAAUAAGUGGAAAUGGUUUUGAGGGUUAAUGCCGUUUUCAGAUAGUUGUUCAGCUCUGACCGGUGAAAAAGUACUAACUUUAGUUUAAAUGUUUCUAUUUGAAUUCUAUUGAAUGCCAUUCCUCAUGGAAGGUCAGCAGUCACUAGAACGGAAUAGGCCUGAUCAGUGGAGGGUCCAGGACUAGAAUCAUGCUAAUCAGAAUCUCAGUUGACUGGAAUCGCCAGAUGAAAAACACUUCUUUAUUAGUAAAAUAUUCAUGUGAGAUUUAGGAGAUGGGGUACAUUUUUAUUCUGCAAGUCGGCACUUUGGUCUUGAAUCCAAUUAUGGGAGAAAAACAAACAUUUGAUGUUUCAGAUUACUCCGGUCUUCCACAUUUAAAAGCAGAAUGUGCAAACAUUAUUGUUUAAAGUUUUACACGUCCACUCCAUCAAGGAUGCAGUGUAAGGUUAUUUCUGCAAAAGCACUGAGACUUCACAGAAGCACUUGUCAAAGUGGCCCAAAAUGUGUACAUCUGAAGUGCCAAAACAUAUCAGCAUCUUUGUAUAUUAAAUGCAUUUCUUUCACUCUAUUUCUGUCAUGGCUAGUGUUGGUUGUAUCGGAUUAGAUUUGUGCCAAUAGGAUAAAGAAAAACACUUUGAAGAUCAAACAAAUAUUAAGACAUUGAGAGAAAAUGAAAUGUUUCAAAAGAAAAACUUACGAUCUGAAUCAACUUCUUAAAAUGAGUAACAAAGUAUGUUUCCUUUUUUUGUUUGCCUCUAUGUGUUUUUGUUAUCAAUUUCCUGAGUUUCAUUCUCGCUGCUCAGAGCUUUGCUCUCACUACCAGAUUUGCACUUACACUUUCUGGCUUUCUCCUUUGCAAUCCCUGAGUUUUUGGUUGCAAUUCUGACACAACCCUUUCGGUGGGUGGGACUUCUGAGAAGUCCUCUCCCAUAGGACAGUGGUUUCUCUUGAGUGACAGUUCAGUGACCCGGAAGUGAUGUAGCCUAUGACUUUUUUUCCCCCCACCUCGGUCAACAACAUGAAUUUUGAGCCCCAAACACGUUAUUUCUGCUGUCUGUGGUGUCUACUGAGGAUCUAAAGAACCUAUGGAACAUCAGAGACUUUGCAGCUACUGGAGCUAACCUGUGUACUGCUAACUUGCUACAGAGGAAGCAGCAGAAAGCUGAGCUAACAGGCUGUUUUGCAGAUUGAAAAUUACUGCAUUGCAUUACAAUGGAAGUGCUACACGGCCACAUGCAUCAACUGCAGCUGUUGACAAGCAUAUGGACCUAUUGUUCGAGUCUGUGGUGGUGGAUGCUCUACCAUAUCAGGAGUCGGUGGUGGUGGAUGCUCUACCAUAUCAGGAGUCGGUGGUGGUGGAUGCUCUAGCAUAUCAGGCAUCUGUGGUGGUGGAUGCUCUACCAUAUCAGGAGUCUGUGGUGGUGGAUGCUCUAGCAUAUCAGGCGUCUGUGGUGGUGGAUGCUCUAGCAUAUCAGGCGUCUGUGGUGGUGGAUGCUCUAGCAUAUCAGGUGUCUGUGGUGGUGGAUGCUCUACCAUAUCAGGAGUCUGUGGUGGUGGAUGCUCUAGCAUAUCAGGCGUCUGUGGUGGUGGAUGCUCUACCAUAUCAGGAGUCUGUGGUGGUGGAUGCUCUAGCAUAUCAGGCGUCUGUGGUGGUGGAUGCUCUAGCAUAUCAGGCGUCUGUGGUGGUGGAUGCUCUAGCAUAUCAGGCGUCUGUGGUGGUGGAUGCUCUAGCAUAUCAGGCGUCUGUGGUGGUGGAUGCUCUAGCAUAUCAGGUGUCUGUGGUGGUGGAUGCUCUACCAUAUCAGGAGUCUGUGGUGGUGGAUGCUCUAGCAUAUCAGGCGUCUGUGGUGGUGGAUGCUCUACCAUAUCAGGUGUCUGUGGUGGUGGAUGCUCUACCAUAUCAGGAGUCUGUGGUGGUGGAUGCUCUAGCAUAUCAGGAGUCUGACUAAGUACCUGUGCCUGAACCUCUCUGUGUCUAGUUCAAAAGACCUGAACGACCUGCUGUAAUCAGGCACAGGUUAAGAUUUUAAAAGAACCUGUAAGAUGAGCAACACAACAGAAUAUAAAUCUUUAUUAUUAUUGUACGCUGUACAGCUAGAGUAAACUUGCAUGCUCAGAAGCCACGUAUGAUUACAUCGCCUUCAGGUUGCCUGAUGCUGAACUUCGGGCAGCUGCGCGUGACUGUACUCCCGUGGAACAACCGCCUGUUGGAGGAGUCGUCGUGUUGCUGUUAGGAGUUUGGGUCGGAGUCCUGGAUCUAUGGAAAUUCUUUCCUUAAAGCUCCUGAUCACACAACCGUACUGGCAGUCGGCUUACCCACUACCUUCUGCUCACCCGCUUGCUACUCAUGCUGUCAUUCUCCCAGACUUCUGGUUGUUUCUCCACCAUUCUGCUGUCUCCCGUCUGCGCUACAACUUCAGACCGGCCUUCUGAUCUUUAAACACUAAAACCUGUGGCUCCAUCUCUGUGGCGUUUCUCAGUCUCUGUAAGCUACCCGCACAGUCUAAGAAAACCCUGACCUGUUGCCUCUUACUAACCUCUGCUCUUCCUCGCAGAAGCUUCUGGUUCCUGAUCUCCAGCUGUUACCUCUUCAGUCAUCCGUCAAACAUUUUAAUAAACUGUUUUUAGCUCA
This is a non-coding RNA of Nothobranchius furzeri (turquoise killifish), 3700 nucleotides long. NCBI's taxonomy places the organism in Eukaryota, Metazoa, Chordata, Actinopteri, Cyprinodontiformes, Nothobranchiidae. The record is from RefSeq and is a predicted model, not a curated record.